Molecule: transfer RNA, 72 nt
Filed under: Ictidomys tridecemlineatus (thirteen-lined ground squirrel)
Lineage: Eukaryota; Metazoa; Chordata; Mammalia; Rodentia; Sciuridae
Description: Spermophilus tridecemlineatus (thirteen-lined ground squirrel) tRNA
Rfam family: tRNA
About the family: Transfer RNA (tRNA) molecules are approximately 80 nucleotides in length. Their secondary structure includes four short double-helical elements and three loops (D, anti-codon, and T loops).
Source: Rfam by way of RNAcentral
GGGGUUGAGGCUCAGUGGUAGAGCGCUUGCUUGGCACAUGUAAAGCACUGGGUUCGAUCCUCAGCAACCCAU